AAGAAGACUUAAAAAGGGGAAACUCCUCCUGAGGGUGCUGUAGGAGACAUCUGCAAAAAAGAAGAUGCUGGCAAUAUGCCAUCAACCUCAGAGGGGAGUAUUUACCUUGAAAUGGCUCACUUCCUGAGGAACAAACUUGCUGGAUCUAGUGUACGGAAACCUGAUUCUGGGUUCCUUUGGGAAGGAGCAUUACGGGCCUGCUCCUGGACCACCUCAUAUCACCAGCACCCUCUACCCAAGGUCCUGGAGCCAACACUGGAGUAAAAGAGCACAAGAGAACUCCUUAGAGGUGGAAGGAUACCCUCUGAGGUCAAAUCAUUGGGCUUGUGGCCAUGAGACCACAGACUUUGCCUGGCUUCCAGUGACUGUCCGAGAUGACCUGUGGAGUGCACCGCCUGUACUUGGACAUCACUGUCUUUUCGGAUCCAUACCCGUCAUCCUUGGAAUUUCCCCUGCAUCCAAACCUGUUCCUGAUACAGGUAUAACCCUAAGGAAUAUCUUGGAUGUCUUCACGGGGCUUAUGACUUAUUCUGAGGUUUACAAAAUAGAGGCCCCCAGCUGAGCAAAGAGAGGGCUGCAGCGCCGAGGGAACAGCUGCCGGACUCACCGGAGAGGCCUCCUGGAGCACGCCGGGACCCCCUCCACCCCCUGGCUUUGGCUGCAUCAAUGGCUAGUUUGCCUGAACUAUAUCUGAGCCACUGAGAGUAUUUAUUAAGCAGAGAAUAAUUUUGAGUUUCACUUUUAUAACUUUUGUUUCAAAAGUUGUUUUGGAUAAUUUAAUGAAAUGACUGUAAACCAGAAUUCCCCUUUUCAUUAUUUCUUUGUGUCAAUAUAAAAAGAGUUGAUGAUUUUAAAAGCCAGUGAGAUGUCCCUGUCUGUGGAUGUCAGCGGGAGGGUGGGGUCUGACGCCUUUCUCUGGUGGCUGUCCAGGAAGAUUGCCCCAGCUUGCACUCCCUUUUGGCGGGUUCCAGAGCCUUCCAUUUGAAAGGAGCAUCUCUCACCACUCUGCCCCACCCAGCACCAGCUCUUCUGGAACCCACUGACUUCCUAAACACUUUCUUCCUCCUUCACCUCAUUGAAUUCAAGACUUUAGAAAACAGCCAAAAACUCUAGAGGUGGGGGUGGGUUCGAUCUGGAAAUCCCUGCUGUAAUCUUUUUAAGGGAAUCCACUGGAAAUUAUUAAUUUAUGUUUUAAAUAAAACCAUUCCUUACUUAACAGAAUAUUAAGCCACUCAUUUUUUUAACAGAACUUUCGAGAUAUAAUUAAAAUGCCAUAAAUUUCACCCCCACACAGUGUACAAUUCCAAGGUUUCCAAUAUAGUCACAGAAGUCUCUGCAACAAUUACCACAAUUUUAGACAUGAAGACCAUUUGUUGGCAGCCCUACCUGCCUCUAUGUGUAUGUAUAUAAUUUUAAUAUUGGAUUGGAUACUAUAGUAAUAUUGUACUGUUACCUAUUUGUGUUUUUAUAUUGCUGUUUUAUUUUAUUCAGAUGAAUAAUAAUUAUCUCCAUAUAGUCAUACAUUUAUAUAGGGUUAAACACACCUUUUUACAAUUCAAUAAAUUAAAUUGGUCAGGUAUGGUGGCUCACGCCUGUAAUCCCAGCACUUUGGGAGGCCAAGGCGGGUGGAUCACCUGAGGUUGGGAGUUUGAGACCAGCGUGAUCAACAUGGAGAAACCCUGUCUGUACUAAAAAUACAAAAAAUUAGCCAGGCAUGGUGGCACAUGCCUGUAAUCCCAGCUACUUGGGAGGCUGAGGCAGGAGAAUCACUCGAACCAAGGAGGCGGACAUUGCGGUGAGCCAGGAUCGCACCAUUGCACUCCAGCCUGGGCAACAAGAGCAAAACUCCAUCUCAAGAAGAAAAAAAAAAAAAAAGUAAAUUGUUUUUAAUUACAUAAGAAACACGUGUUAUUGUUAUAGAAAUUCACAUAGUGCUUCGGUCUAUAGAAUAAAUGUAUCCCCACCACCUCCCAGCCCACCCACUCGUCUGCAUUCACCUACACACAGUUAAACAUGCACAUAUGUUUCCGUGACACGAUCUUGCUUUGCAUAUUGUUCACUGACUGGCUUUUCCAUAUAAGAUUUAAUUUGGUGAUUAUUGCUUAUCAGUACCUAUAGGUCUCUCUCAUUAUUAUUUAUAAUUACAUCAUUAUUCCAUAGGGUAUUUUACCACAAUUUGGUCACUUUUUCACUGAGGAAUUUUUAUGUCAGUUUCAGUUAUUUGUUAUUGUUACCAAUGCUGUACUGGGCAUCCCUGUAUAUCCACCUUUUUGUUGCAUUAGUUAAGUGGUUUUUUCCUUUUAUGAUUGAUUUCUAAAAAUAAAAUACUGCAGCAAA
RNAcentral lists this long non-coding RNA (2337 nucleotides) under Homo sapiens (human). RNAcentral describes it as "HSALNT0392968". Lineage: Eukaryota; Metazoa; Chordata; Mammalia; Primates; Hominidae. The record is from RNAcentral.